AAGUCGUAACAAGGUCUCCGUAGGUGAACCUGCGGAGGGAUCAUUACUGAGUGAGGGCGCAAGCCCGACCUCCAACCCCAUGUAUACCGUACCAUGUUGCCUCGGGGGCGACCCGGCCUUCGCGUCGGGGCCCCCGGCGGACCCCUCAAACUCUGCAUCUCUGCGUCUGAGUAAUGAAUUGAAUCAAUCAAAACUUUCAACAACGGAUCUCUUGGUUCUG
This 220-nucleotide unclassified non-coding RNA is filed under the name air metagenome. RNAcentral describes it as "partial contains small subunit ribosomal RNA, internal transcribed spacer 1, and 5.8S ribosomal RNA". The stretch from base 1 to 46 matches the Rfam family "Eukaryotic small subunit ribosomal RNA", at positions 1786 to 1831 of the family's 1831-position model. The record is from RNAcentral.